RNAcentral lists this unclassified non-coding RNA (1090 nucleotides) under Stegodyphus dumicola. RNAcentral describes it as "cellular tumor antigen p53-like, transcript variant X1". The record is from RNAcentral. Lineage: Eukaryota; Metazoa; Arthropoda; Arachnida; Araneae; Eresidae.
AAACAAUAAUCUUUUUCAGGUUGCAUUUUUUAAGUAAUGGCUGAAGAAUAUCAUCAGAGCUCAGAUGAAAGUCCUCCACUCUCACAGAACAGUUUUGCAUAUUUAUGGAAUGAGAUUAAACAGUCUCCUGUUGCAGAUGCUGUUGAUGGAAAUUUCUCGGAUAAUUAUGCUAAUAUUGUAAUGUCAUCUGAAGAACCAAGUAGUAAUCCAGAAGUUGUUGAAAAUAUCAGCUCAAUAGUUGAAAAAAUUGGGACUUCAUGUGCCAGUAUUCAAAUACCACAAGCCUUAAUAUCUCCUACUGUGCCAUAUUAUACAUCAUCAUCUCUUCCAGCUACGGAAAAUUUUCCUGGAAAUUAUUCAUUUUCAGUGGGAUUUCGUUCUCAAGAAAAGAACACGAAAGGUGUUACGUGGACGUACUCUGAAAUUAAAGAUAAACUUUAUGUGUCCAAAGAUACUCCUUGCCCAAUCAAUUUUUCUACAAAUACUGUGCUACAUGGUGCAUUCAUUCGAGCAAUGGCCUUAUUCAGCUCUCCAGACAAUGCAAAUAAUAUUGUAACACGCUGUGUAACUCAUUCAAUGGAAGAGAUAUCAAAAGGGAUUUUUGAAGCUGAGCAUCUUGUGCGUUGUGAAAGUAAUAUGGCUCUUUAUCAAGUGGAUCCUGCUAAAAGGCACAGUGUAACUGUACCAUUUGAAAAUCCUCCAGCUGGCCAGUUGUUUUCAACAUAUAUUUAUAAAUUUGUUUGCUUUGGUUCUUGUGCUGGUGGACCUAACAGAAGACCUUUAAUUCUGGUUUUUACUCUAGAGAAAGGUAAUGAAAUCAUUGGACGAAGAAAAUUUGAUAUUAAGAUUUGUGCAUGUCCUGCACGCGAUAGAAGAACUGAAGAAAACCAGUUGAUGCAAGUACAAAGACCUCUUGUUCCAGCAAAACAGGAUACAUUAGGUUUAUGAUAAAGAAUGCUUUGAUUUCUUAAAACAGAUGAAGAAAUAUUUUGAAAUUGUAAAAGGGAUGAAGUAUUUUGCAGUUCCAAAGCCACUGACUGAAGCUGAGUACAAAGCUUUUAUAUUAUGUAACCAAAAAGAAAGUGACGAU